UCUACAACCCUUUGUGAACAUACCUAUAACUGUUGCUUCGGCGGGUAGGGUCUCCGUGACCCUCCCGGCCUCCCGCCCCCGGGCGGGUCGGCGCCCGCCGGAGGAUAACCAAACUCUGAUUUAACGACGUUUCUUCUGAGUGGUACAAGCAAAUAAUCAAAACUUUUAACAACGGAUCUCUUGGUUCUGGCAUCGAUGAAGAACGCAGCGAAAUGCGAUAAGUAAUGUGAAUUGCAGAAUUCAGUGAAUCAUCGAAUCUUUGAACGCACAUUGCGCCCGCCAGCAUUCUGGCGGGCAUGCCUGUUCGAGCGUCAUUUCAACCCUCAAGCUCUGCUUGGUGUUGGGGCCCUACAGCUGAUGUAGGCCCUCAAAGGUAGUGGCGGACCCUCCCGGAGCCUCCUUUGCGUAGUAACUUUACGUCUCGCACUGGGAUCCGGAGGGACUCUUGCCGUAAAACCCCCCAAUUUUCCAAAGGUUGACCUC
Molecule: ribosomal RNA, 483 nt
Filed under: Colletotrichum gloeosporioides
Lineage: Eukaryota; Fungi; Ascomycota; Sordariomycetes; Glomerellales; Glomerellaceae
Description: eukaryotic LSU rRNA
Rfam family: 5.8S ribosomal RNA (bases 161-314)
Source: RNAcentral